This is a small nuclear RNA of Cynocephalus volans (Philippine flying lemur), 107 nucleotides long. The record is from RefSeq and is a predicted model, not a curated record. Lineage: Eukaryota; Metazoa; Chordata; Mammalia; Dermoptera; Cynocephalidae.
GUGCUCGCGUUGGCAGCACAUAUACUAAAAUUGAAAUGAUACAGAGAAGAUUAGUAUGGCCUCUGCACAAAGGUGACACACAAAUUUGUGAAGAUUUCCAUAUUUUU